This 253-nucleotide ribosomal RNA is filed under the name uncultured bacterium. RNAcentral describes it as "partial 16S ribosomal RNA". It matches the Rfam family "Bacterial small subunit ribosomal RNA", at positions 524 to 776 of the family's 1533-position model. The record is from RNAcentral.
UACGUAGGGACCAAGCGUUGUUCGGAUUUACUGGGCGUAAAGGGCGCGUAGGCGGCAAUUCAAGUCAUCUGUGAAAUCUCCGGGCUUAACUCGGAACGGUCAGAUGAUACUGCUUUGCUCGAGUGCGGAAGGGGCAAUCGGAAUUCUUGGUGUAGCGGUGAAAUGCGUAGAUAUCAAGAGGAACACCUGCGGCGAAGGCGGCCUUCUGGACGAUGACUGACGCUGAGACGCGAAAGCGUGGGGAGCAAACAGG